UACGUAGGUGGCAAGCGUUGUCCGGAAUUAUUGGGCGUAAAGCGCACGCAGGUGGAUGCACGCGUCCCGCGUGAAAUCGCCCGGCUCAACCGGGCGGGGUCGCGGGAUACGGUGCGUCUGGAGCACGGGAGGGGGCAGUGGAAUUCCCGGUGUAGUGGUGGAAUGCGUAGAGAUCGGGAGGAACACCAGUGGCGAAGGCGACUGCCUGGACCACAACUGACGCUGAUGCACGAAAGCUAGGGGAGCAAACAGG
RNAcentral lists this ribosomal RNA (253 nucleotides) under uncultured bacterium. RNAcentral's name for it is "partial 16S ribosomal RNA". It matches the Rfam family "Bacterial small subunit ribosomal RNA", at positions 524 to 776 of the family's 1533-position model. The record is from RNAcentral.